UACGUAGGCAGCAAGCGUUGUUCGGAGUUACUGGGCGUAAAGAGUGCGUAGGUGGUGCCCUAAGUCUGUUGUGAAAUCUCCCGGCUUAACUGGGAGGGUGCGGUGGAAACUGGGGUGCUUGAGUGUGGGAGAGGUAAGCGGAAUUCCUGGUGUAGCGGUGAAAUGCGUAGAUAUCAGGAAGAACACCAAUGGCGAAGGCAGCUCUCUGGGACGGUACUGACGCUGAGACGCGAAAGCGUGGGGAGCGAACAGG
Molecule: ribosomal RNA, 253 nt
Filed under: uncultured bacterium
Lineage: Bacteria
Description: partial 16S ribosomal RNA
Rfam family: Bacterial small subunit ribosomal RNA
Source: RNAcentral